GACGAACGCUGGCGGCGUGCUUAACACAUGCAAGUCGAACGGAAAGGCCCCGCUUUUGUUGGGUGCUCGAGUGGCGAAACGGUGAGUAACACGUGAGUAACCUGCCCUUGACCUUGGGAUAACUUCAGGAAACUGGGGCUAAUACCGGAUAGGAGCUCCUGCUGCUUGGUGGGGGUUGGAAAGUUUCGGCGGUUGGGGAUGGACUCGCGGCUUAUCAGCUUGUUGGUGGGGUAGUGGCUUACCAAGGCUUUGACGGGUAGCCGGCCUGAGAGGGUGACCGGCCACAUUGGGACUGAGAUACGGCCCAGACUCCUACGGGAGGCAGCAGUGGGGAAUAUUGCACAAUGGGCGGAAGCCUGAUGCAGCAACGCCGCGUGCGGGAUGACGGCCUUCGGGUUGUAAACCGCUUUCGCCUGUGACGAAGCGUGAGUGACGGUAAUGGGUAAAGAAGCACCGGCUAACUACGUG
This 468-nucleotide ribosomal RNA is filed under the name uncultured bacterium. RNAcentral's name for it is "partial 16S ribosomal RNA". It matches the Rfam family "Bacterial small subunit ribosomal RNA", at positions 28 to 507 of the family's 1533-position model. The record is from RNAcentral.